GACGAACGCCGGCGGCGUGCCUAAUACAUGCAAGUAGAACGCACAGUUUAUACCGUAGCUUGCUACACCAUAGACUGUGAGUUGCGAACGGGUGAGUAACGCGUAGGUAACCUGCCUGGUAGCGGGGGAUAACUAUUGGAAACGAUAGCUAAUACCGCAUAAUAUUAAUUAUUGCAUGAUAAUUAAUUGAAAGGUGCAAUUGCACCACUACCAGAUGGACCUGCGUUGUAUUAGCUAGUAGGUGAGGUAACGGCUCACCUAGGCGACGAUACAUAGCCGACCUGAGAGGGUGAUCGGCCACACUGGGACUGAGACACGGCCCAGACUCCUACGGGAGGCAGCAGUAGGGAAUCUUCGGCAAUGGACGAAAGUCUGACCGAGCAACGCCGCGUGAGUGAAGAAGGUUUUCGGAUCGUAAAGCUCUGUUGUAAGAGAAGAACGGGUGUGAGAGUGGAAAGUUCACACUGUGACGGUAUCCUACCAGAAAGGGACGGCUAACUACGUG
RNAcentral lists this ribosomal RNA (505 nucleotides) under uncultured bacterium. Its description in RNAcentral is "partial 16S ribosomal RNA". It matches the Rfam family "Bacterial small subunit ribosomal RNA", at positions 28 to 507 of the family's 1533-position model. The record is from RNAcentral.